Molecule: ribosomal RNA, 664 nt
Filed under: Bacillus sp. (in: firmicutes)
Lineage: Bacteria; Bacillati; Bacillota; Bacilli; Caryophanales; Bacillaceae
Description: bacterial SSU rRNA
Rfam family: Bacterial small subunit ribosomal RNA
Source: RNAcentral
AAACAUGCAAGUCGAGCGAAUGGAUUGAGAGCUUGCUCUCAAGAAGUUAGCGGCGGACGGGUGAGUAACACGUGGGUAACCUGCCCAUAAGACUGGGAUAACUCCGGGAAACCGGGGCUAAUACCGGAUAACAUUUUGAACUGCAUGGUUCGAAAUUGAAAGGCGGCUUCGGCUGUCACUUAUGGAUGGACCCGCGUCGCAUUAGCUAGUUGGUGAGGUAACGGCUCACCAAGGCAACGAUGCGUAGCCGACCUGAGAGGGUGAUCGGCCACACUGGGACUGAGACACGGCCCAGACUCCUACGGGAGGCAGCAGUAGGGAAUCUUCCGCAAUGGACGAAAGUCUGACGGAGCAACGCCGCGUGAGUGAUGAAGGCUUUCGGGUCGUAAAACUCUGUUGUUAGGGAAGAACAAGUGCUAGUUGAAUAAGCUGGCACCUUGACGGUACCUAACCAGAAAGCCACGGCUAACUACGUGCCAGCAGCCGCGGUAAUACGUAGGUGGCAAGCGUUAUCCGGAAUUAUUGGGCGUAAAGCGCGCGCAGGUGGUUUCUUAAGUCUGAUGUGAAAGCCCACGGCUCAACCGUGGAGGGUCAUUGGAAACUGGGAGACUUGAGUGCAGAAGAGGAAAGUGGAAUUCCAUGUGUAGCGGUGAAAUGCGUAGAG